UGGAAAAAAACAAACAAAAACAAAGUCAUCAUUGCUAAACGUCAAAGCCUGGUUCUAGAUUUUCUUCUUCUCAGGUCAGGAAGGCGGAGCAACCAAUGGCUCAUUACCAUUUAAAGGUAAAGGCAACAGAAUCUGACCUUACUAUGUCCUUUUUCAGAACAACUACCCCUGACAAGAUCCAGGUGAUUGGAAUGUAGAUACAUUGGUAUCUGUGGUUCAUACCUUCAGACCUUUCGUCAGAAAGAGAAAUAAAAAUCGCAACAACCGCCAAGACCUUGAAGUUUGGCUACUCAUCCUGUCGGCCAUCGCGGCGGAUCACACCGCACCGUACCAACCCCUCUGAACCUUCCUGCGGCUGGUGAGCCAACUGGAAGAUACCAACCGCCCUAACUGGGAUUCGAUCUUUCCCGGGAGGUGGAUCCUGUUCUACACCAAUGACAGGACCCUGUGAUGGAGCCAUGGACUGUCGGGCGGACACCACCCUCACCUCUCAGUACCUGGUUUUGGCUGCAGUGCCCCCUAAUGACCUUAGUAGAUAAAUGACAUCAUACGGUCAUGUUUUGAGGGGGGGG
This is a long non-coding RNA of Cynoglossus semilaevis (tongue sole), 572 nucleotides long. RefSeq lists it as uncharacterized. The record is from RefSeq and is a predicted model, not a curated record. NCBI's taxonomy places the organism in Eukaryota, Metazoa, Chordata, Actinopteri, Pleuronectiformes, Cynoglossidae. The transcript is spliced from 3 exons.